RNAcentral lists this ribosomal RNA (610 nucleotides) under Elphidium sp. S5. RNAcentral's name for it is "SSU rRNA". It matches the Rfam family "Eukaryotic small subunit ribosomal RNA", at positions 1192 to 1546 of the family's 1831-position model. The record is from RNAcentral. Lineage: Eukaryota; Foraminifera; Rotaliida; Elphidiidae.
UAUUUGACUCACGCGGGAAUCUUACCGGGUCCGGACACACUGAGGAUUGACAGGUUAUGGGGCGGGUUGAAUUUCAAUCUCUUCGGGGAUUAAUUUUCUCCCACCUCAAAAAUAUGCUAGUCCUUUCAUGAUUAUGUGAUAGGUGGUGCAUGGCCGUUCUUAGUUCGUGGAGUGAUCUGUCUGCUUAAUUGCGUUUCACUAAAGGCGUCAUUAAUUUUUUGUGCCUGUGUUUGACCCCGCACUUCGGUGCGCGCGCGUCUUUCACACACAAUUACUUUGACGUCUGAAAGCAACGAACGUGACCGUAACCUCUUGUUGCCUUCUCUUCUCUUCGGAGAAUGCUGUUUUUUACCCUCGGGUGAAUCGCAGUAUACGGAGGCUUAAUACUCAGUAACUAGAGGGACCGCUGUUACUUUCUUUAAACCAGAGGAAGGUUGCGGCAAUAACAGGUCUGUGAUGCCCUUAGAUGUUCCGGGCUGCACACGUGAUACAUUGAUUACUUCAGUGAGUAUCUACGUAUUACUGCGCAGCAGUAUACGCGUGUUGUUUAUUGCUUCGGCAAUUUACUUUGCGCUAUACGCCGCCUUAACCUACUUCGAAAGUAUGUGGG